GGUUGGUGUAGCAUUCGCUUUCCAAUCCAUCUCUCAGCUGUCUCUCUCUAGCCUGCCUCCUUCAUCCAAGGAACUGCAUCUGGCCUUCUCCAUGGCCACGGCUGCUACCCAAUAUGUCUUCCCGCCGGUGGCCGCUGCUCGGCCUCUGCCCCUGCGUUGCUGCGGCUGCUGACAGCAGUGCCGGUGGCGACUGGCCACUCCGGCUGCUACUCUGCGUGCGCUGCUGUGAUCUCUCCUUACCGCGCAGCCGGCCCUCACCGCCACUGGGGAUCUCGCCGGCGAGAGUCUCCUCUACGGCACCCGUCGGUGGCGGCUGCUCUGCUUCAGCCUCUGCCCCUGCGUUGAGGCAGCCGUGCGGAUCUGCCGGCUGCCGGCAGCAGUCCUGCCGGUGCCUUGCGCUAAUCUUCUCCUGUCGACAGAUGCGGCUGGGCUGAUCCGCCGGCUGCCGAAAGCACUCCCGCCGGUGCCCUAAUCUGUGCCCGCGGACAGCUGCGGCUGCGCUGAUCCGCCGGCUACCAACAGCAGUCCCGCUGGCGACCGGCUACUUCGAUCCGUCUGCUGCUACUCCCUGCGACCUCUCCCUCCCGUGCUGCAGGCUCUCACCGCCACCGAGUUCUCGCCGGCCAGAGUCUCUCUGUUGCACCCGCUGGUCAUAAAAUUCCUCAUCUGCUCUGCUCGUCUCAGAGCUCCUGAUCUGUUUUCUCGUCGCGCCUGCCUUCUCUCUUGCUUUCUCUCUCGAGUUUUUUUCUUCAGGGAUUCUCUCUCGAGUUAGUGCCCCACCCACCACCAGCAGCAAUCAGUACAACUGUACAAAGAUGCGACCUCGUGUCGUUCUCGAGUUUUUUUUUCUCGAGUUAGUGCCCAGCCCACCCACCACAGUAGCAGUAGUCAUCCAAAAAAAAAAGGAUGUGACCUCGUCUGUUCUAUUGCGUUUUGCGUUUGAGUUGGUUUCCCGUCAAAGGAAACACUCGACUCGGGCGUGGGUGCAGGCGUCCACAUGCAACUAGCCCUAAUCCCCAUCUAAAAAAAACUAAACCUCAUACCAGCCGUGGUUUAACCGAACCGGGGCCCAUAUUAAACGAUAGGAUAGAUCUGCCUCUCAUCCCCUACCCCGACACCCGAUGCUGGAUCCUUCUUGCCGGCCGGCGGCCAUAUGCUUCUGGAUCUACAUGCACUGCCUCUCAUCUCCAUGGACUAUGGUGGCCGGCAUUUUCCUCUCGUCGUUGGUUCCGUCAACAAGCCGACGGCCACGAAUUAAGUAAGUACUCAGACAUAUACAUACCGUGUCCUUUGUUGUGUAUAAAUGCGCGUCGAUCCAAACUAUCCCUUCCCUUAAGAAAAUAUACCAGAAAUUUCACAUUAACUACACGGCAUCUGUUAGUUUUUCAAUUCCUAUCUUUCUGUGGGCAUUGAUCCGUGGUAUAUACACAUAUUGGAGGCACCAUCGCUCGGGUUGUGCAACGGCCGGUGGCGAGAUCUACCUGCCCAAAUGUCUCUCGUGAUAAUUGGAUUCAAGCUCCCUCUCAAACACUGAGUUUCUAUAUAGAGACAUCCGGCCAUGAUAAUACAUUUUCAUUUAUUGGUUGCAAUAAGGUCCGGCCUUCAAACAGUAGGUAAUACUCUACUACUAUAUUUUAUUGUUGUUGCUAAUACUUGCUAGAUUUCUUCACAUUAUCCCUUUAAAUUGUUUUUGCUUUUACCUGUUUUCACUUUUGUUCUACUCUCCACUUGCCAUAGCCGGCUUUCUUUUAAUUAGCCACGAUUCAUUUUCACCUGUCGUUCAGUAGUGGCAUGUAUAACAAACAGAGGCGUGCAGUCAGCACAGAGGUAUGUUAGAUGUGUGUCCCUGUUAAUUUGUAAACUGAGUGUCCGCAUCUGGUUCCAAAUAGUUUGGUUGAAGUAAAUGUAUUAUACUUAUGCAACUUCCAUGUAAGGAUAAUUAAACUAGUACUCACUAGUCAUUAUUAACACUAGCAAAAAUGCAUGUGCGUUGCAGGGAAAAAAAUAUAUCAUGUUGCGUGAUAAUUCGAAAGCGUACAAAUUAUUGUUACAGAUAUAACAAUGUUGUUACAAAAAAAGAUUGUAAAUGAGUCAAUUAUUCGCCCAUGACGGUGCAAAUGAUCUCUUAGCAGUAAAAACAACACAUCAUGUGCUUAAGACAUCACUACAUGUUAUGUUUCUUAAGAUAGGCCCAAAAAGUUGAAAAUAGUAUGUCAACAAAAUAAGAUAAAAAAUAAUAAAGUAUAUUUUUAGUGACAAAUAUAUAAACUCAUAAAGGAAUAAAGUAUUUUUUAGUGACAAAUAUAUGAAAGUAAGAUACAUUAUAUAGUAUUGGUGCUCAUCAAUCUUCUCUCGCACAUCCCAUGAUGACUUGGGGACUACACAUGAGCAAUCAGUGGUUACCAAGCUCUCACACAUGUACUGGAUAGCAUCUUGGUCAGCUGGAGAUAAUAAGAACAGAAUGUCAAAACUUCGAAGGCAAAGAUCCAAAGAAGAAACAUACUGAACUCUUGAAACACAUCUUCUAUGCAAUUUCUUAAAUUGUUUCUCACGCAAACUUACUGUACCAAUCACUUCCUUUGACCGUAUCAUAUAUAUGCCACCUAUAGUCAUCUUCAGACGUCCAGAAUAUCUUAUCUCAGUCAGCUUGGCGUAACACACAGCCAGGACGGAUGGUUUUGGAGUCCUCUGAACCAUGCUCAUCAAGCCAUUUCUGUCCUCCACAGAUCGGAAGGCUUUCCGGGACAGGGAAAGUUCUGCAGCAAUCUUCAGUUGUUCAACCCUAGUAUCAAGGUACAACUAACAGCUUUCAGGGCAGUCAGAUCAGGACGAUCUCGAGAUUUGUUCAGAUUUGAUGGUUUCUGAUCAUGUCACACAGCCUACGUAACUCGAUGGAUCUUUUGUACUGCUUGCAAAACUAAAAGGCAUUGUGCGCAGCCAUGGCAUACAACGCUUGAAGCUUGGAGUUGUUCCUCAACACCUCCAGCGCCGUCAUGUAUGUGUCCCACAGAAACUUGAGCCAUGGAGUGUCAGAUCGGCCCUUCCCGCUGACGUAACUGAGCAUUAGGUCCUCUGGUGCUUCCAGAUCAUGGACAUUGAGAGCCUGUGCCUGGUGAUUCAUGGCCGCCUCCCCAGCUUUCUUGUUGGACAGAUGCAUGAAGUGUUUGACAACAUCCUCCAGAGUCGACACAUUGUUGAGUUCCUGCUGGCAGACGAUUCUGGAGUACUGAAUGAGGCCGUCCUUGGCGAAUCUGCCUUUCCUCAGAUCCACGCACAGCUCCAUGUACCUCUUCAUGACCUUCUCAAGAGGCUUCUGCCAUGACCAACAUCUUUUUGACGUGAUGAGAUCGUGCAGCGCUGCAGGCGCUGCCGGCUUCUGCCCGACGUGGAUCAACUCAUCUGCUUUCUUCAGAGCGCUCGAGCAGAGGGACGCGAGGGGGUGGCGAAGGAUACGCGAGGGGGCGCGAGGGAGCGACCGAUGGCUGGCGGAGGGAGGCGAGGGGGAGGUGAAGGACAGGCGAGGGGACGCGGGGAAGCGACCGACGGCUAGCGACGGAUUGGUGUUUGUGCAGGGGUUGGGGGAAAAUCAUGCUGGUGGCUCGUUCGACAACCAGGGACGAAUCCUUUUUCUCACCUAGCGGUGGCAGAAGCUUUGUAAAUUCUGCGACAUGAACCGUGGGUUUAUUUCCAUAAAAGUCAAGGACACUUUUGCAAAAACACCGCGACGGUGAACCCGACAGACUCAAUCCGUGAUUUAUUAUUAGGGAAAGAUUUUGAGUUUAAUGUUCUAUCUAUUUAUAACUAUCAAAUUUCUUUAAAACACAUCUGAGCAAAAAGUACAACAAUUAUGUUGGCGUGUAAAGUUUCGUAUCGGUUUCCUUUGCUGUUUGUCACAAAUACAAAUGUUUGUCACAAAUACAAAAUUGCAUUUAAUUGCUACUACUUGUUAUAUUUGUGUGUGCCACAUUCCAACGGGUUUUCUUUGAUUAUUUUUUGGUCUAACAUUGUAUACUGUUGUAAGUAGUAUUUUUUUACUAAAAUGUUAGAAAUUGAUAUCCAAAUUUAAUUGGUGUUGCUACACCCAACUCAUUUAAAAUAUUAUGUUUUUUCAGUUGGUUUCAUCUUUGAACUUAUGUCAUGUUCACGAUAAUUUCCUAGGGAAAAAUAAUAUUAUUCCUUGAUUCCUACAAAAUCCAUUUCUUGUGCGUUUGUAAGAGAUAUAGUUAUAGGCAUUCCAUUGGAUUGAAAAUGAUCUUCUUUGGCUUAACAUUAAUUUCACGGAUGCAAACAUCCAUUUGCCCUCUCGCUUCCAUAAAAUUUGAGCGGUAACAUGUUGUAAGGUGCCGAAGUGUUAGGUUUAGCUAACACACAUGAAAUUGGGGGGAAAUUGAAAUUUUGACUAAGAAUAUCAUCUUAGUUAUUCAAAUUUAAUAUUUCUAUGAAUCCUAUAAUUGUUUUCUUGAUUUACAUAGGGUUAGUGCUUUUGAUGUCCAAAACAUUACUUUUUGUGAUAUGGAGGGAGUAAUGAUCUUUGUUGUCCUUUAUUCUGAUUUCUGGAUGUCAUAGGUCUCUCCGAGCUUCGUUUGAUUCGUCUUUGUCUACCUACCUUCAACUGCACAUGACAGUCUCAAUUUUUUCUCCAUCUACUUCGUCUCUCUCGAUUCCUCCUUCCUUCAGUUUGUUUGUUCAUCGUGCUGAUUGGUUACAUAUAGUGAUGGCGGUUGGUUAUAUAUUUUAUGGCGGUGGAUGAAACAUUAUUUGGAAUACCCCGUAAAGAAACCAGCCGCACGAAGGAGAAAUAAAUCAUUGGUGAGUUUUUUUAAUUAUGGUACCUUGAGUAGGUACACAUUUGAGUUGUGGCUACCAUUUCUUCAGAUGAUAAAGUUUAUCAAUUUCCUUUUUAUAAAUAGGAUUGAGUUUAUCAGGCUAUUAGAGUUUUGUUUUCGGUCAUAAAUUUAAAUGGUAUACAAUAUAAUAUGAUUUUGACUAAUAUGAUAUAAUUUAUCUAGCUAUCGGAGUUUUACUUCGGAUCAUAGAUACGAGAUGAUAUGAUAAACCAUGAUUCUUGAUGAAUAUGAUUGAAUUUAUCUAGCCAUUGGACUUCUAUUUUUCUUUGUCACAGAAUAUGAGAUGUAAACUAUGUCUCCUAGACUAAAUAUAAGUCACAUAAUUAUGCAUGCAGCCAAAGUUUUAGAAUUUGAAUUUGUCUUCCAGAAUUUUGUUUAUAUCAUAUAACAUUUGGGAAGCUCAUCAUCAAUUCGUUGUGGUAGCAAUUUUCUUAACAAAAACAACAAGACAUCCGUGGUCAAGUUCAUUUGGAUUGGUGGUUUGUUCCUUAUGUUCUGACUUCCCUAUAUAUCAUGUUGUGAUACCGGUGUAUAAAAAAUGCAGUUAGAAGCUAACCCACCUUGUACUCCAUAAGAUCAACUCGGUAACAUGAUUUGUCCAUUAAAUUUUUUUCCUCUAAAUUACCCAAUUUUAUAAAGUUUUUGUCAGUUUGACCCAUUUUCAUGUUUUACCCAUUAUUUUAGAAAGUUGCUCCAAGUAAUUGUUUGAUAAACACCCCCAAGGGUUUAGCAUGGACAACUAGACCCGAAAGCUUUGGGACCCUAUGUCGCUCCCUCGACUGACACGGGCGCAACACUAUCACCGCCAACCACCGCCCAUCCCUUUCCUCCUCAUCGCUGUCUACGGGUGACACUGGGCUUGGUGGCGGUGUGGCGGCUCGCCUUCUCAUGUGCAACGCUUGAGGGGCACGAGACUCUCUGCUACGCGCGCAAAUCUUGUCCGGCGUGCAGCGGCGUGGCUGCCGCAAAUCCCCAACCCCACGACGCAGCUGCAAACCGGCAGUUGAAGUCCCUCCACCCCCCAGCCACCACUCCUGUUGCGUUGGCGCCGCUGCCUCGGCCACCCCACCACCACCAUCCCUUCUUGCACCACCGCCGCAUCCACCUCGCUGCAUCCCCGCCCAUUUAUCCACGUCCUUGCAUCGCAUCCCUGUCGUUCGCUUGCACAAGCCGCCACCUCGUCGCUGUCCAAUUUCGGCCGCCUCAUCCCCCGACGGUGUCAUAUUCCCUCGAUCUAUCAUUUUGGCCAUCUGACACCUCAUUCGGUCGCCACUCCACCGCGAAUCGACCAUUGUUGCCUCCCCAUCUUGUGUCGUCGCGCCGCCGCCGUGCAGUCAGGUCUUGGUAGUCCAUCCGCUAUGCCAUCGAGAUCUCAUGUGCCGAGUCGCGGAUGUGGCUCAUCACACACCUACGACAAGCACGAGGUCCGCACGUGCGUGUAUAACCACGCGGCUUGGAGGCUUUGUCGACCCUUCUCAUGGAGUACUUCUUAUGGGGUUUCAACAUUUUUGGUCGCUAAAAAUUGUUAAAAAUGUGAAAUGGGACUUGUGUUAUGUAUGUGUUUCAAUAGUGGGCUGCAAGGCCCACGCCACACUCCUCUGAGUCUGCUAUAAACCCUAGAGCCAGCUACUCCUACUCAAGCCGCCGUCGUUCUUGCGCUCUCCUCUCCCAGCAAAGAGACCUCGUCAGAUCUGCUCCGCCACUCACCUCCCAGCUCUCCAGCUGCCCCGAGCUCGCGUAGUCGCUGUUCCCAGCCCACCCCACUGCUGCCUCCACCAAGUUCCCGUCCAACGGAGAGAGCAUGUCUUUUGGGAUGAGGCUUGUUGCCAUGGCCAGGCGGGUUGCCGCCACCGCCACCACCACCGCCAGCGCCAGCCCAUGGGGGUUUCACCGCUACUCAUCCAGCGCUACCGGUCUCAUGCACCCACGGUUUGGACGGAUUGGCUCAGAUGGCCUUCCUGAGUCAGUUGAUUGGACAAAGCAGGGUGCUGUAACCCCAGUAUCAAGUUAAGGGGAUUGUGGAAGCUGUUGGUCGUUCGCCACUACAGCAUCCAUGGAGGGCAUUAAUGCCAUAAUGUCAAAUUGUCUUGUGAAGUUAUCAGAGCAGCAACUGCUUGACUGUGUUACCUGUUCUUCCGAUGGUUGUGAGGGAGGUCGUGUAGUUCCAGCUUUCAGGUACCUUCAUAGGAAUGGAGGGCAAGUUUUGAAUGAUGUCUACCCAUACACAGCUGAAGUGAACACUGUCCACAAAAGAGUAAUUGCACCUGCAGUAUCUAUUGACGGCUUUGCUUUUACCUAUGGUGGUACCGAAAAAAAACUGAAGGUGGCUGUAGCAUCACAGCCAGUGGUGGUUGCUUUAGGGGCAGAUAAGGCAUUUGUGGAAUAUGAUGGUGGUGUUGUGGAUAGCAAGAACUAUACCCUUGCUGAACUGUCGACAAUUAAGUUCAGGGGUUCAUAUAUUGGGCACUACGUUACUGUUGUAGGUUAUGGGAUAACAGAGUUUGGUGAGCUUUUUUGGCUUGUCAAAAAUUCACGCGGGGCAAAUUAUGGUGAAGAUGGGUAUAUCAGGAUCGCAAGGGAAACUGGCAAGGAGGGAGGUGCUUUUGGGAUUGCCAGGUUCUUCGCGUAUCCAGUCAAGAAAAAUGGGAAGAAUAACAGAAGGUGCAUGGUGAGGUCUGAGGCUGAGCUGUAUGGUUGCAAGUGUAUUCACUGGAUAUGAUGAGCCAGAGGACACAUUGGAUGUGAUGAAAGCAAUGUGAACAUGAGAAAUGAGUUGAGCGUGCCCUGCAUGCAAGUUAUUCUUGUAAUAGCCUAGGGAGGUCGCCGUGUAUCUUGUGGACUUAAGAAUCAUUUUGAACCUGAGAGUGCUGGGUAGGUGAAGUUCAUCGCUGCCUGUUAAUCUUAAGUGAAUUUCCUGAUGAAA
RNA transcript from Triticum aestivum (bread wheat), 7770 nucleotides. It is a transcript of the gene named cysteine proteinase EP-B 2, with no coding region annotated. The record is from RefSeq and is a predicted model, not a curated record. The transcript has 5 exons. Lineage: Eukaryota; Viridiplantae; Streptophyta; Magnoliopsida; Poales; Poaceae.